This 445-nucleotide ribosomal RNA is filed under the name uncultured bacterium. RNAcentral's name for it is "partial 16S ribosomal RNA". It matches the Rfam family "Bacterial small subunit ribosomal RNA", at positions 354 to 796 of the family's 1533-position model. The record is from RNAcentral.
GUGAGGAAUAUUGGUCAAUGGACGAGAGUCUGAACCAGCCAAAUCGCGUGAAGGAAGACUGCCCUACGGGUUGUAAACUUCUUUUGUACAGGAAUAAAAGACAUUACGUGUAAUGUAUUGCAUGUACUGUACGAAUAAGCAUCGGCUAACUCCGUGCCAGCAGCCGCGGUAAUACGGAGGAUGCGAGCGUUAUCCGGAUUUAUUGGGUUUAAAGGGUGCGCAGGCGGGAUUUUAAGUCAGCGGUGAAAUUUUCAGGCUCAACCUGAACACUGCCGUUGAAACUGGGAUUCUUGAGUAUGGAUGAAGUAGGCGGAAUUCGUUGUGUAGCGGUGACAUGCUUAGAUAUAACGAGGAACUCCGAUUGCGUAGGCAGCUUACUAAGCCAUAACUGACGCUCAAGCACGAAAGCGUGGGGAUCAAACAGGAUUAGAUACCCUGGUAGUCC